AGAAAGCCACGGCUAACUACGUGCCAGCAGCCGCGGUAAUACGUAGGUGGCAAGCGUUGUCCGGAAUUAUUGGGCGUAAAGCGCGCGCAGGCGGUCCUUUAAGUCUGAUGUGAAAGCCCACGGCUCAACCGUGGAGGGUCAUUGGAAACUGGGGGACUUGAGUGCAGAAGAGGAAAGUGGAAUUCCAAGUGUAGCGGUGAAAUGCGUAGAGAUUUGGAGGAACACCAGUGGCGAAGGCGACUUUCUGGUCUGUAACUGACGUGAGGCGCGAAAGCGUGGGGAGCAAACAGGAUUAGAUACCCUGGUAGUCCACGCCGUAAACGAUGAGUGCUAAGUGUUAGGGGGUUUCCGCCCCUUAGUGCUGCAGCUAACGCAUUAAGCACUCCGCCUGGGGAGUACGGUCGCAAGGGUGAAACUCAAAGGAAU
Molecule: ribosomal RNA, 426 nt
Filed under: uncultured bacterium
Lineage: Bacteria
Description: bacterial SSU rRNA
Rfam family: Bacterial small subunit ribosomal RNA
Source: RNAcentral